UACGGAGGGUGCAAGCGUUAUCCGGAUUCACUGGGUUUAAAGGGUGCGUAGGUGGGCAGGUAAGUCAGUGGUGAAAUCUCCGAGCUUAACUCGGAACUGCCGUUGAUACUAUUUGUCUUGAAUAUUGUGGAGGUAAGCGGAAUAUGUCAUGUAGCGGUGAAUGCUUAGAUAUGACAUAGAACACCAAUUGCGAAGGCAGCUUACUACACAACGAUUGACGCUGAGGCACGAAAGCGUGGGGAUCAAACAGG
RNAcentral lists this ribosomal RNA (251 nucleotides) under uncultured bacterium. RNAcentral describes it as "partial 16S ribosomal RNA". It matches the Rfam family "Bacterial small subunit ribosomal RNA", at positions 524 to 776 of the family's 1533-position model. The record is from RNAcentral.